UCCGGCGUCGGCAGUCACGGGUCGCCGCAGGAGACGCGCCCCUCGGGUCAGUGAGAGCGGCUCAGACCGCCCGCUGCUGCCGGCCACUGCAGGGGAGAGGAGAGAUCUGACGGACUGCUGCAGGCGACCGGAGACUGCUGCUCGCCACCUGUCUCUGCAGUGUCCAGGGCAACUGCUGUAGCGACCCGUCUCGGCCUGCGCCUGUGACCGCACGGCAGCCCCACCAGCCGCCAUGUCUACUGUCGGGUGCUACCUGCGCGUGGAAGAGCUGGCUCAGCCCGAUGGACUUUACCAGCUGGGCGACAGAAUCGCCGAGGGGACCUACGGAGAGAUCUUCGCGGCCACCGAGAACAGCUCAGGUACCAAGGUGGCCAUCAAGAUAGUGGACAACACGGAGGAGACUUUCCCUGACAUUGAGGAGGAGUACCGAAUUUUGAAGGACCUCUCGGUUCACCAGAACAUUCCCAAACUGCACGGCAUUUUCAAAAAGACCUCGAGCAGCGGCGUCGAACAGAUAUGGAUGGUCAUGGAGUACUGCUCGGGCGGGUCGGUAACGGACCUGGUGAAGCGUCUGAAGGAGAGCGGACACGUCAUGAAGGAGGACCACAUCGCCUUCAUUCUCCACCACACCGUCCAGGCCGCCUGCCACCUGCACCGGAACCACGUGAUACACCGCGACAUCAAGGGGCAGAACAUCCUGAUGGCCCAGAACGGCGAGAUCAAGCUCGUCGACUUCGGCAUAUCGCGUCACCUGCCGUCCACGAUGGCUCGUCGGGGCACCUCGAUUGGCACACCCUACUGGAUGGCUCCGGAGGUGAUCUUGUGUGACCAGCAGCACGGCGCCGAGUACGACAUCCGCGCUGACGUCUGGUCGCUCGGGAUCACUGCCAUCGAGUUGGGUGACGGCGUGCCGCCGCUGGCCAGUGUGCACCCCGUGCGGGCCAUGUUCCAGAUCACCCGUAACCCACCGCCUACACUGGCAAAGCCCACCGAAUGGAGCCAGGCCUACCUGGACUUCAUCGCGGAGUGUCUGGAGAAGAACGACGAGAGUCGUCCUCUGAUGGAGGAGGUGGCCACCCACCCGUUCCUGACCAGGCUCGAGCCGCGACUGGCCGCUAUCAGGGACGAGCUGGCCCAGCUACUGGCCGACAGCGGGCCGGCAGAGACCGUCCAGCCGGCCCAGGUCACCUCCAAGGCUGGAUACCUGAGGACGCGGCCGCACUCCAAGUCACUGGAGAUCCUGCAGGACGACCUCGCGGCCCUGGAGGACGUCACCGACGACACUAUCCUAAACCUGCUGGAGAAGCGGUUCCACCGCGACAUGAUCUACACGUUCGUGGCCGACGUGCUGAUCGCCGUCAACCCGUACUGCGUGAAGCCGCUCUAUGAUGCCAAGACACACGCGGCCUACUGUUCUCGUGCGCGCUCCGAUAACGCGCCGCACGUGUACGCCGUGGCGGACCGGGCGCACCAGGACAUGGCGCACCAUCAGCGUGCCCAGACCAUCGUCUUCACCGGCGAGACUGGCUCCGGGAAGACGUUCAACGCACGCAUGGCGCUGGCGCACCUCUGCCACCUGGGAAAGAGUAAGUCCCUGGCGGAGAAGGUCCUGGGCGCCGGGUUCGUCCUGGAGCUGUUGGGUAGCGCGGCGACCAGCCAGAACGCGGCCUCCACGCGACAGGUGCGCUACUUCGAGACCACCUUCACGAAGACGGGCCGGCUGAGCGGCGUGAUCGUGUGGAACUACAUGCUGGAGCGCUGGAGGGUCACCGACACCCGCCCGAAUGACGGUACAUUCAACGCGCUAUACGCCUACUACUACGGGCUGCAGCAGAGCGGAAAGCUGGGAAUUUACAAGCUGCAAAAGAAAGAUGACUACCGGUUCCUGCCGAAGCACAAGUUCCUCGACCCGGUGGACAGCGCCGAGAAGUUCAAGGAGGCAGAGCGGACCAUGGACAUGCUGGAGAUCUCCGGCGACAAGCAGGAGACGGUGCGGAAGGCGAUGGCGGCCAUCAUCCUUCUGGGCGAGGUCGACUUCGAGGACGACGGCGAGGGCGUCACGAUCGUCAACAAGGAUGUCCUGAAUACAGUGUCGUACCUGCUGUCUGUGGACGAGGCCAAGCUGGUCUGGUCGCUGGAGCACCGCUGUCGGAUCGUCGCCGGAGAGGCCGUCAAGGAGGCCAAGACAGUAGAGCAGGCGCGCGCCUCGCGGGACGCGCUGGCCCGCCUGCUGUAUGGCCGGCUGGUGGAUAGCGUAGUCAACUGGGUCAACGCCUCCUUCACCCUCACCAGGCUGCUGUUCGGCGAGACCAACACGGUCGGCCUGCUGGACAUGUACGGGUUCGAGAGCCGCAGCACCAACUACCUGGAACAGCUGGUCGUCAACGCCUUCAACGAGCAAGUGCAGUCGUUCUACAACCAGUCCGUCUUCCAGUGGGAAAUGGACGACUUCCGUGGUGACGACCUGGAGGUGUCUCCCUACACGUACAUGGAUAACAGUGCCACCAUCGACAUGCUGAUGAAGAAGGGGGAGGGCCUGCUGGCGCUGCUGGACGAGAGCACCCUGUCGGAGAAGGCCUCCGACCAGCACUUCGUCGAGAACUGCAAGGAGACCAUAGAAAGCCGCCAUUUCUUCCCCGAAAAGGAUGGAUUCGCCAUCGCUCACUACGCUGGAAAGGUGUCCUACUCCAAUAAGGACAUCGUCGCCAAAAACAAGGACUACCUGGACCCGGAGGUGUUUGACACGCUACGUCAGUCAGAGAACCCGUUCAUCGCGCCCAUGUUCCUGCUGCCGCUCACCAAGACGGGUAACCUGACCAUGGACCGGGAGCAGGCGCAGCGCGAGGCGGGCGGCAAGGCGCGCCCCGUCAAACUCAACGACGACGUCGGAAACAAGCGGUUCGACACGCGCUCGCGGGGCCGGCUGUCGCAGACCAGCCUGGUGCUGCUGACGCAGGCCUCGUGCUACCGCUACAGCGCCAUGGAGGUGAUGCACAAACUCAUCAACAGCACGGCCCACUUUGUGCGCUGCGUGCGCUCCAACAGCGAGGGCGCCGCAGACACCUGGGAUACCGGUCUGGUCGCACAUCAGCUGAAGUGCAUGCAGAUUGCCAACACCAUCGCCAUCAGGAAGGACGGCUACUCCCAGAGGAUCGACUUUGCCGAGUUCUUACGAAGGUAUCAGUUCCUGGCGUUUGACUUUGACGAGACCGUUGAGGUGACGCGCGAGAACUGUCGACUGCUGAUGGUACGUCUCAAGCUGGACGGCUACCGUAUGGGACGGCAGAAGAUCUUCCUCAAGUACUUCAACGAGGAGUACAUGAGCAGGCUGUACGAGCACGAGGUGAAGAAGAUCGCCAAGGUGCAGGCGAUGAUCCGCGCGUUCCUGGUGCGCCGGCGGCGCCGGGCCGGUCAGCCUCUGGACGUGACGCGCCUUCUGGCCAGUGAGUGUCACCGUCGGCCGCGCCUCUCCGUCACGCCCGAGAUGCUCAUCAUGCCCGAGAUCGACCCGCCCGACGAGUUCGAACUCGAGGACUAGGGCGUCGGGUCGGGAGAAACUAGAGGACUAGAGCGUCGGAUCGGGAGAAACUCGAGGACUAGAGCGUUGGGUCGGGAAAAACUCGAGGACUAGAGCGUCGGAUCGGGAGAAACUCGAGGACUAGAGCGUCGGGUCGGGACAUACUGGAGUAAGGGGUACCAAAGUGGGACAGACCCGUGGACAUAUAGAGUAUCGGGGUCGGGACAAACUCGAGGACUAGGGUGUCGGUCGGGACAAACCCGGGGACUAGAGUAUCGAGUCAGGACAAACUCGGGGACUAGAGUAUCGAGUCAGGACAAAGACAGGACCGGGUCACCAGGCCGGGACUUACCAACUGGAGAACGGGGUACCAAAAUGGAACACACGACAGGGCUAACUAGGGGCUAAUUUGAAUACUGGGAUGCCAAAAAGGAACACACUUCAGGGUUCAAAAGGGACUAAAUGGAGAGCUUCCUAAGGACGGAGGCAUCGAAUAGGGACAAAGAUACCGAAAAGGGGCAUACUGCAUGAUUGGUGCACUAAAUAUGAACGAAAUGGAGGAUUAGCAUUUCCAUGAACAUAUUGAAUAGAACAAACAUGACAAUACUUCAACCGAUAAGUGAUCCAAAUUGGACAUAAUUAGUGUUUUUUAUACCUCGAGAUGGGAUAUCCUCGUUGUAAAUUGAAGAAAAGUCAGACUUGUUUUUUACGUUGAUGGUUAAUGAGAUUUAAGUCGGUAACCAAAGUAGAACCAGCCGAUGACGAUAGCCAGUAAUAUGUGGAAUGAUGACAUCAAAUAGAUCUCAGGGUAGGCUCUUUCACAAUCCACACGAACCAAACAUCAUACAGAUCAGUGUACCCCCAAGUGGACUUAGAUAGGUACGCAUGAAACGCGACCCGAUGGUAGUUCAAUGUCGCGUAGCAUCGUCCAUCGACAAUGUGCAUUAUGCAUUAUUAUGCUUUGAGUAGACCAAGGAUGGCGUAAGGGCUUUUAAUCGCUCACCGUUAAGAAUUGGUUGUUCACCAUAUCCAGCUACGUUAAAAAGGCGAUCUUAGACUAUCCGUUAGUACGCAAAAAAAAGUCGAGUAAUCACUGAUAUCACAUAUUAUUAUUGAGAAAGGUAAUAAGCUAGAUGGAACAUGUGAAGUGUUCUGUGUCACCCGUGUGUUCCCUGUAUUUAGCAUGCUUGUAGAGAGUCUAGCUAGAUCAACCGCUGCAUAGGAAAUGAGCUUAAAUUAUGUUCGGAGGGACUUAUGUCUUAUAUCCGGGCGAGAUAUGUGCGUUAGUUAUCAUGUUAUUCGCUAUCGCAGUGCAAGUAGAGGUGUGCGCUUAAGCCAUCGGUCAUUUGCCUUAUGCCUAUGCAUCUCAGAGAGCACUAGUCGCUUGUACGCUUGAUGAUUGGAUUGAUAUUGCAGUUUACGUGGUCGCCCUAAGACCUCUGAUAGAAUGCUGAGAACACUUGUAAGCGCUCAGUGGAAAGGGCAACACCUUCUGCGCAUUCAUUGUAAAUGCGAGGGAAAGCAAAACAGUUGGUUUGAGUGACCUUUUCGUAAAAUGCUACGUUCCAGCAUAACAUUGAGGCUUUCCUGUCACCCCACGAAUGCUCACCGGGGCCGGCUGUGCCGCAGUAUAUAUGGGGGAGACCUGCGGCACAGUGGGCAAAUUCCAGGCCGGUUAGUUUCAGCCCCAUACCGAUGAAACGCUACCACAAAUCUAGCCGUGACACAGGCGUAAGGUCAUUGUCAAUAUGCAAACAUGCUAAAAAUGCAUCAUCUUACCAGCUAUUUGCAUUCUCUCGCAUAAACACGUUUUCGGUAAAUGUAUAAUAACCUUGUAUGAUGUAAGUGUAUAAGAUGAGAUUCAGAGACAGUAGUAUGGUGCUUACGUGUCCAAAUACACAU
RNAcentral lists this unclassified non-coding RNA (5419 nucleotides) under Amphibalanus amphitrite. RNAcentral's name for it is "neither inactivation nor afterpotential protein C- like, transcript variant X2". Lineage: Eukaryota; Metazoa; Arthropoda; Thecostraca; Balanomorpha; Balanidae. The record is from RNAcentral.